UACGUAGGGCGCAAGCGUUAUCCGGAAUUAUUGGGCGUAAAGAGCUCGUAGGCGGAUUGUUAAGUCAGGGGUGAAAUCCUGGAGCUCAACUCCAGAACUGCCUUUGAUACUGGCGAUCUCGAGUCCGGGAGAGGUGAGUGGAACUGCGAGUGUAGAGGUGAAAUUCGUAGAUAUUCGCAAGAACACCAGUGGCGAAGGCGGCUCACUGGCCCGGUACUGACGCUGAGGUGCGAAAGCGUGGGGAGCAAACAGG
RNAcentral lists this ribosomal RNA (253 nucleotides) under uncultured bacterium. RNAcentral's name for it is "partial 16S ribosomal RNA". It matches the Rfam family "Bacterial small subunit ribosomal RNA", at positions 524 to 776 of the family's 1533-position model. The record is from RNAcentral.